GGGGUGCUCGAGUGGCGAACGGGUGAGUAACACGUGAGUAACCUGCCCUUGACUUUGGGAUAACUUCAGGAAGCUGGGGCUAAUACCGGAUAGGAGCUCCUGCUGCAUGGUGGGGGUUGGAAAGUUUCGGCGGUUGGGGAUGGACUCGCGGCUUAUCAGCUUGUUGGUGGGGUAGUGGCUUACCAAGGCUUUGACGGGUAGCCGGCCUGAGAGGGUGACCGGCCACAUUGGGACUGAGAUACGGCCCAG
Molecule: ribosomal RNA, 249 nt
Filed under: uncultured Actinomycetales bacterium
Lineage: Bacteria; Bacillati; Actinomycetota; Actinomycetes; Actinomycetales
Description: partial 16S ribosomal RNA
Rfam family: Bacterial small subunit ribosomal RNA
Source: RNAcentral